GAUGAACGCUGGCGGCGUGCUUAACACAUGCAAGUCGAACGGUGAACACGGAGCUUGCUCUGUGGGAUCAGUGGCGAACGGGUGAGUAACACGUGAGCAACCUGCCCCUGACUCUGGGAUAAGCGCUGGAAACGGCGCCUAAUACUGGAUAUGUGACGUGACCGCAUGGUCUGCGUUUGGAAAGAUUUUUCGGCUGGGGAUGGGCUCGCGGCCUAUCAGCUUGUUGGUGAGGUAAUGGCUCACCAAGGCGUCGACGGGUAGCCGGCCUGAGAGGGUGACCGGCCACACUGGGACUGAGACACGGCCCAGACUCCUACGGGAGGCAGCAGUGGGGAAUAUUGCACAAUGGGCGCAAGCCUGAUGCAGCAGCGCCGCGUGAGGGAUGACGGCCUUCGGGUUGUAAACCUCUUUUAGCAGGGAAGAAGCGAAAGUGACGGUACCUGCAGAAAAAGCGCCGGCUAACUACGUG
Molecule: ribosomal RNA, 469 nt
Filed under: uncultured bacterium
Lineage: Bacteria
Description: partial 16S ribosomal RNA
Rfam family: Bacterial small subunit ribosomal RNA
Source: RNAcentral